Molecule: long non-coding RNA, 1333 nt
Organism: Pseudopipra pipra
Lineage: Eukaryota; Metazoa; Chordata; Aves; Passeriformes; Pipridae
Exons: 3
Source: RefSeq, a predicted model, not a curated record
GGGUUGGGGCACCCCGAGGACUCCAGCGCGCACCGAAAGGAUUAUUCGGGGAGAUCCUCGGGGUGCCCGGCCCUGGGGAGCUCAAAGCAAGGUCCCUGCAAUGGAUUCAGGCAUUGCUGAGAGUAUCCCAGGGGUCCCUGUCCCUGCUAGACAUGGAGCUCUCUAAUGGACUGUAAUUGGGUUCUAAAAGUGGUGCUCCAAGUGCCAAAGAAGUGUGGGAUUGGGAUUAAUAAAUGAGCAGUGAUGGUCCAAUUGGCUGUUUUCUCUUGAAUAUAAUGGUAAGAGCUGCAGGAGUGCCAGGUGGGUGUUCCAGUCCCCAGCAUUUGUUUUGCACAUGUCCUGGUCAGACACAGGUCCAACUUCCUCAGUCCUUAACCCAGUAGAGGGAGAAUUAAGGACUGGCAGUGUUAAGGUGAUUGGUGUGACAGGGGUUAAACUGGGAAAACAUUGGGGAAUUCCUCAGUUUGUCUGUUUGCCAAACUCACCCAAACCUGUGCUACGAAGAGAUGGACUGGAAAAGUUGAGGCAGAAAUGAAAUUGAAAACUGGGGAUGUUGAAACUGUAAUUGCUGGCACUAAAUGUGUCCAAGCAGCAGCUCUUGUUGUGCAGGGAAUAACUCCUGUCAGCAGCAAGGUCCCGACUGAAGUGGCAGCUGCAGUUGUUCCUGUGGUGUGGGCCAGUGGAAUUGCAGGAAAGUGGGAGAGGGCAGAACCUGUAGGUAUUACCCCUGAUGUGGGAUCUCUCCUGGUAAGGCAAAGCCAGUAUCCUUUAAAAUCAGAAUGCCAGACUGGAUUGGUUGCAGUAACAGCUAAAUUUGCUCCUCCUGGUUUGCUUGUAGGAUGUGAAUGCAAGAAUCUGCCAAGAAAACCAAUGUCCAAGAUGAUUGAUUAGUGCAGGACCUGAGAGAACCAUCUUCAAUGACAACCUGAAGCAGUUUCCAGUAUCGGAUUGCAAAGAUGGCCUUUGCUGCAUCUCCUUGAGCAAGGAAAGCCAAGAAACCUUUGCUUUGGCAGGAGAAAAUCUGGAAAGCGGGAAGGAAGAAAAGAAGCCCCCUGAUUCCUCCCUGAGCCCCAGACAGCCCAUGAACUGCCUUCCUGGGAAUGGUAGGACAGGAUGGACUCUGGAUUGCUCCCUCUGCAUGUGUGGAACUCCAGGAACUCCUGGUGCCGCCUGGGCCGAUGGAUUGGACGCCCCAGCCCCUCCGUUCCUGCCCAGCCACUGGGUCCGUGUCCAGUGGUGGCACUGCCAGCCCUGCAGUGGGAUGUAGUCUGGAAACUGCACAGAGCUGAGCCAAGGGAUUGAAAGGGACCAAGCAAGGGAGGUGAAGAAAGAA